Non-coding RNA from Zootermopsis nevadensis, 2006 nucleotides. NCBI's taxonomy places the organism in Eukaryota, Metazoa, Arthropoda, Insecta, Blattodea, Termopsidae. The record is from RefSeq and is a predicted model, not a curated record.
UAACGCAUUCUGUUACGCAUUCCAGUUCAGGGCCUGUUAGAGUGUCGAAAAUUUUAAUUUUAAUUCGAUACCGAGUUCUACAAAAAUUUAAUAAAAAUAAAUAUGGGUAAAGUAAUGAAAAAAGUAAGACAAGAUUGCACUUUCUGUUACAUAUUUUAGUUCAGGGGCAGGUUCUUUGUGUGGUAUUAACUAAAUAGAAAACCUGGGGUGUGUAACUUGGCUUCAUCAUCUCAGUUCUCAUGGGAGCAGUAACUAACCUCAAAUCUCUUUGUUCUCCUCAUUACUCAGUGCGGUCAAGUGCUGUAAAAGGGAGAUAGGAAAAAGGUAGCAAUGUUUGCUGAAAGUAAACAGAAACUAAGAACAAUGAAUAGUUGUACAAUAGUAAUUUUUCUAGUUGUAAAAUUUAUGUACUAUGGUAAAUAGAAAUUAAAUAAAUAAAAUCAUGGUUCGGCAAUAGUUCACACACAAUUUGCCAGGAAACAUCGACUAGAAGUACUGAUUCUUCAGAAUCAACCCAACUUGUGUGCUGCUGCCAUCUGUUGAGCGUUGAGAAUGUGGGACUCUGUCAGGAUACUUUAUUUUCAUCGAAUUGAAUGAACUAAAACUAAACUAUCUUUGCUCUGUCCAGUCAAAUACUGGGCAGAGAAUUCAUAAUAACUUCUUAGCGUGGAUGAAAAAUGUCCAAGAAUAUGCAUUAGUUCAUAUUCUAUUUGUAGAUUCUGAGGUAGGCCUACAUGGUGUAUUAAAUUUCGAUUAUAUAUGAGUAUACAAGCAACCAUGGCUUACUCUACAGAAACCAUGACUUUCGAUAAAGAGACAUUUAUAGAAGUUGUCACCAGUGGAAUCAUAUCUCGUUCGGAAACUGUCACAUUUUGCGUAUACACCAUGGUGGAAAAAAGAGGAGAGUUAUGGGUAAUUUAUGUGACGUGUGCGUGAUCAUCUUCCAACGUACAUAUGAAUAAACUUCAGAACGGAUAACCAUCAGUUUAAUUAAAUUUAAUAUUUGAGAGUUUUACGAAAAACUUGGAAAUUUGUAAUUAUUAAUUAGAUCGGACAAUUUUAAUGGCCACUAUAUGAGAGCAUAAAUAUUUUUGAGUUUAUUUUAAAUACUCGAGAAAAGCAGUCGCACAAACUAUUUUUUUUAGUGUACUUGGAUAAACGUUAAGCAAUAAAUUGCCUGUUUUAACUUAAUUUGUUGACAAUUCACCACAAUAUUAAUUAAUUACGUCUAUUAUGAUCAAAUAUGACGUCAUACGCAGAUUAGUUCAGUUCUUGUCCUCUAAUUGGCGACACGUUACUUUUACCACCACUGUAUAAACAAUCUCAUUGGUUGCUGAGCAAAUCUGUUCUGGGUGGUACGACUGUUAGUGACUGACGUAUAUUUUUUGUCCUGUUCUUGUCCGUGAAUUUUAGUUUACUUUGUGAUUGUGUGUAUUUUAUUUAAUUGCAUUACACAUUUUUCGGUGUGUGAAGGAAAUAAGUCCAUUAUUAAAAUAUGUUAAAGUGCGUGUCAUACAAUGUUAGUCCAGUACAAUUUUCGGUUGCACGUGUUGCAAUCUAAUUCCGAGGUCACGCUUGUGUUUAGAACCGCAAAGUGGUGCUGUUUGGCGGUCAAGUCAAGGCAACAGACUGUGAGGAUGUUCAUUGGAGUCAUCUGGUUCAGGACAGGAUUCAGUGGCAGACUGUUCACGCUACAGCGAGAUCAGAAUGUUGGCAGUGUUUUCUUCGCCACAGCGUCCAGACCACCUCUGCGGCCAUCCAGUGUCCUCUCCAAUGGGCAACGAGGAUAUUUCCUUGGAGAUGGAUGUCUUACUUCUAAGAAAGGAAGCGUGGUGUGCACUGCCAUCAGUUUGGGAUCUUGAUUCUGACAGUCCUGAGGGAGAGACCAGCAAAAUAAGGAAAAGAACAAGAGGGAAGGAAAAAGUGAAGUUGGAGGACUUGAAAGCGACGCUGCCGAGCAUUAACCUGAACCUACGUGAAGUCUUGGAAUCCCCAAUCUUCUUAAC